ACCAAGGAAUCUGACAUGUGUGCGAGUCAACGGGUGAGUAAACCCUAAGGCGCAAGAAUGCUGAUUGGAGGGAUCCUCUUGUGGGUUGCACCGCCGACCGACCCUGAUCUUCUAUGAAGGGUUAGAGUGAGAGCAUACCUGUCGGGACCCGAAAGAUGGUGAACUAUGCCUGAGCGGGUGGAAGCCAGAGGAAACUCUGGUGGACGCCUGCAGCGAUACUGACGUGCAAAUCGUUCAUCUGACUUGGGUAUAGGGGCGAACGACUAAUCGAACUGUCUAGGAGUUGGUUCCCUCCGAAGUUUCCCUUAGGAUAGCUGGAGCUCGCGGGCGAGUUCUAUCGGGUAAAGCCAAUUAUUAGAGGCAUCGGGGGCGCAACGCCCUCGCCCUAUUCUCAAACUUUAAAUAGGUAGGAUGGCGUGGCUGCUCUAUUGAGCCGUGCCACGGAAUCGAGAGCUCCAAGUGGGCCAUUUUUGGUAAGCAGAACUGGCGAUGCGGGAUGAACCAGAAGUUGGGUUACGGUGCCCAACUUCGCGCUAACCUAGACCCCACAAAGGGUGUUGGUCGAUUAAGACAGCAGGACGGUGGUCAUGGAAGUCGAAAUCCGCUAAGAAGUGUGUAACAACUCACCUGCCGAAUCAACUAGCCCCGAAAAUGGAUGGCGCUAAAGCGCGCGACCUAUACCUGGCCGUCGGGGCAAGUACCAAGACCCGAUGAGUAGGACGGCGCGGCCUUCGGUGCAGAUCUUGGU
RNAcentral lists this non-coding RNA (748 nucleotides) under Phaseolus vulgaris (common bean). RNAcentral describes it as "rRNA LSU_rRNA_eukarya". It matches the Rfam family "Eukaryotic large subunit ribosomal RNA", at positions 665 to 1455 of the family's 3401-position model. The record is from RNAcentral. Lineage: Eukaryota; Viridiplantae; Streptophyta; Magnoliopsida; Fabales; Fabaceae.